This is a long non-coding RNA of Vulpes vulpes (red fox), 595 nucleotides long. The record is from Ensembl. Lineage: Eukaryota; Metazoa; Chordata; Mammalia; Carnivora; Canidae.
CCCAGCCUUUGCUCUCUGUUCGACAGCUUGCUGCCUUCAGUUGUAUGACCAAUCCUCCUUUUUGAUGAUUUUUUUUGCAGUUGCUGGAUGGCUGACUCAGACUCAGAUUUCAUGUAAGCAAACACAGCUUGAAAGCACUCUUGCCUGCCGCAUAUAACGAAGUGCCUGUAAAAGAGUUUAUGGUAGAGAUACAUGCACCCAACAUCAACCUUCUCAUCUUUUCUCAGUGUAGAGACAUGUAAUUUAUAAUGUCUCACCCCUGCAAUGCAGGGAUCGGAGCCCGAAUAGUUUAGUUUUGCCACAAGAUGUUUCCACGUGGCUUACAGGAAGGCUGAUACACAAGACAUCCUGGGGUGAGGCAUCUUCUCGCAUCCACAUCUUCACUGAGGGCCACCCUGCAGACAACCUCUCCAAUCGACACAGGCUAUAUAAUCCUCCUCUUCCUACGUCCACAAUCUGCUGGUUCACAGUAGUGAUAAUCCCUGCAUUAUUUGCAUUGCUUUCAUUGGUUUCCUUUAUCAUUUCUUCUUUUGUAAAUUAAAGACUCAAAAAAAUAAUUUAAAAAAAUAAAGACUCAGUUACUCCAGUGUUAAGC